CUUCGAAGUACGGUUAUGGAAUAUUUAGAAUUUUGAUCGACCCUGAUUUACCAUUUCGGAUAGUUUCUGGAACGCACGAACAAAACGCCGCUAUUUGGAUAUAACGAUGGAUUAUUUGGGACCAAACCAACAUUUGUUAUUGAAGUAGCAGUCCUGGGAGUGCAUUCUGACGAAGACAACAAAGGACACAACACACCUUCAGGCUGUGUUAAAGCUAUUUCACCAAGAAGGAGAGUGAAGCAGUGCUGCAUCAGAUGACUUGGCCUCCACAAUCACCUGACCUCAACCUAAUUCAGAUUGUUUGGUUUGAGUUGGACCGCAGAGUGAAGGAAAAGCAGCCAACAAGCGCUCAGCAUAUGUGGGAACUCCUUCAAGAUUGUUGGAAAAUCAUUCCAGGUGAAGCUGGUUGAGAGAAUGCCAAGAGUGUGCAAAGCUGUCAUCAAGGCAAAUGUUGGCUACUUUGAAGAAUCACAAAUAUAUAUUUUGAUUUGUUUAACACUUAUUUGGUUACUACAUGAUUCAAUAUGUGUUAUUUCAUCGUUUUGAUAUAUUCACUAUUAUUCUACAAUGUAGAAAAUAGUAAAAAAAAUUAAGAAAAACCCUUGAGUAGGUCCGUCCAAACUUUUGACUGGUACUGUAUAUAAUAAAUAUAUAUAUAUAUCCAUUUAUUCUUCAAGAAUAUAACUUAUAAAUGCCUCAUGAGCUUAGUUGAACUGUCACACUCCAUGAGAACCCAAAAUAUAAGCUUGUUUUACUCCAAUGUUUGUAAACAUUGUACAUGUAAACAAACACUGUAUGCAGUGUAGCCUCAUAACACGGUUAAACAAUAAUUUGU
RNAcentral lists this long non-coding RNA (835 nucleotides) under Salmo salar (Atlantic salmon). Its description in RNAcentral is "lncRNA (ENSSSAG00000089973.1)". The record is from RNAcentral. Lineage: Eukaryota; Metazoa; Chordata; Actinopteri; Salmoniformes; Salmonidae.